Humulus lupulus (European hop) is the source of this 2394-nucleotide RNA transcript. RefSeq lists it as uncharacterized. The record is from RefSeq and is a predicted model, not a curated record. NCBI's taxonomy places the organism in Eukaryota, Viridiplantae, Streptophyta, Magnoliopsida, Rosales, Cannabaceae. The transcript is spliced from 4 exons.
CACUCUCACGUUUAGGGUUAAAAAGUUACACACAUAAUCCCUUAAAAAGUUAAAAAUCUUCUCGACAGCCAUGACCCCAGCCGUCCAUGCCUUGCUCAAUCCCUUUCUUCGCAUGUGACAGAGUCCUUGCGACCAACCAGCCAUUCGACGGAGCCCUUUUCUUCGUAUCUUUCACCAUUCUCUCUGUUUCCCAUGAAAAGCUCCCACCUCCUCUUUCAGUUUCUUUUUCUUGGGUCCUGGCCAACUGAUUCUUCUUAUUCUACGGUGACAGAGCGGUGGGGAAGGGGAUGCAUUUUAGAGUUUGUAGCAAUGGCGGACUUGGUGGUUCGUAGUUGUGGCAGGGGUCAGAUCUCUCUCUCUUGAUGACGAUGAGCCCACCUUGGCUAACUCUCCUGGUUUCGACAAAGAUGAGUCCACCGCUGACGAUGAGGAAGAGCGAAAUAGAUAAUCAGGGAAGUUCUCUCUUCCAUGUUCCAUCGAAUAUUGCCAUCAAAUUAAAACUAAAGAGAAGGGAAAAUAGUCUACAUUUUACUCAUACAAAUGCCAUAUCAAUGGCUUUGCCACCAACCUCGAAGAGAAAGAGGCAGCUGAAAUUGAAAUUCUUCUGCUGCGGGAACCAACUUCACAGAGAGAACUUCUUCAGUGGACAUUGUGAAAGACCAACAUGGAAUUGAACAAGUUUUUCUCAAGAACUGUCGGAGAGCUUUUGCUCGAGUUAGGGAUUCAUUUAUUUUUAUUUGAGACAAAACUGAUUGAUCUUGCAUUGAAGAAAAUAUUUAAUGGUCUAAGGUUAUGCAUAAAAAUCAUGCCUUUGAAUAGUAAUUAUCUACUUCUUUUGAUCCGUUUAGAUUAGGGAUAUUAGAGAAGUCAUAUAUUUAUUUAUAUGAUCAACUUAGUUGAAUGACACUCGCCCAUCUAUAUGUAUAAGUUUUACCUAGGUCAUGCCUGAUUUUCCUAUGCAUAAGAGUCACAGUUUUAUUCUAUAUUUUAUUAAGAGAUUAAUUAUAACUUCUUCUAUUCAUUCUCUCUGUUUUUCAUCUGUCUCUAUGUUUGCUAAUAGCGUUUUAGAAAUAUUAUUGAAAUAUUUUUUUCUUGUAGUGUUAAAAUGUGAGUAAAGCUGUUAGUGUUUUCUUGAAAUUCUAAGGCAUGUGAUAUUUAUCCCGUAGAUCCAAAUGAAUUUUAUUAUUGGUGCAGCUUAUAUAAUUGGUUUUUGUAGCUGGUAUUGUUUUUUCUUUAGUAAUGACCUGGAAAACUCUUAUUCUCAUGGUUAAUAUUUAUAGAAGUUAUAAGAUUCACGUUUAUAUGUAACUCAAAAGGCUGGUUCAACCAUACUACAUUGAAAGAUGAUAAAAGAAACUAUGUCAUUUGAUAGGGAAACCAAAAUGUACUACUGAUUGUUUGGUGCUCUAUUUCAAUGCCUAAUCAUAAGUUCAUUCUUUGGCAAGCGGUUCUUCAAAAGUUGGCAACCAGGGAUCUGUUAAGCUACUGUCAUAUCCCUCUUCCCUCCUUGUUGUGCCCGAUCUGUGAUAUUCUGCCUGAAAAUCACUCUCAUUUAUUUUUUGAGUGUCUUUUCUAGGAGAGUAGUGCAGUCUGUUUUUGUUUGGUUGCAAGGGCUCUGUUGGCCUCCUAUCUUUUCAGAUUGGUGCAGUUGGCUGGAGGCAGACAGGAAGAACUUCAAAAACCGGAUCACUCUUGCAGCUCUAGCAGCUUCAGUUUAUGACAUAUGGUUUACUCGGAACAGAUGCCAUUUUGAUAGUAGUUGUCUUAUGGUUUCUACUGUAACCAGUUUAAUUAAAUCUUUUGUUUCAGCUAGAAUUCUUGGCUUAAAGCUUAGAGCUAAGUUUAGGACUUCUAGAGCAAUUCAAAUGACUCAGUUUUUGUCUAACUUGUCUUGACUGAGAGCUGUUGCUCUGGUUUUUGGCAGUAAUCUGUGUGUUUGAUCAAUAAAAUACCUUUUCUUGAUCAAAAAAAAAAAAAAAUGUACUACUGAUUAUUGUGCCAUUUUGUAAACUUGUCAUUGCAGAUCGGAUAUAGACAUGUUGAUUACGCUCAAAUUUAUGGAAUGAUCAGAUUCUUCUUUCGUGAAAUGCUCACUUUUGUCCACUGUAUUCUUUAAGAGUAAAAGAAGUCUCAAUCUGAAAGUUACAAAAUUGAGGCUCGGGAUUUAAGCAACAAGACUAAGACGUAUUCGUGUCAAAGGUGGAAGUCAUAUAUGAGUUAUUAUGAUUGUUCUUUAUUCAUUUUGAUGUUUUUUUGUUGUUUUUGGAUAAUUUGUUGUGUAAAUGAGUACGGUUCGUAUAUGUGAGAUUGAUUUUGGACAAUUAAUAAAGAUGUAUUUUUAGAGUUAUGAUAUUAAAUAAAAUUUUGGUUCUUAAAUUUAUAUUAUGGUUGGAA